AGCUUUGCGCAGUGGCAGUAUCGUAGCCAAUGAGGUUAAUCCGAGGCGCGAUUAUUGCUAAUUGAAAACUUUAUUAAUUUAGAC
Molecule: small nuclear RNA, 84 nt
Filed under: Chrysemys picta bellii (western painted turtle)
Lineage: Eukaryota; Metazoa; Chordata; Testudines; Emydidae
Description: U4 spliceosomal RNA (ENSCPBG00000020027.1)
Rfam family: U4 spliceosomal RNA
About the family: U4 small nuclear RNA (U4 snRNA) is a component of the major U2-dependent spliceosome. The structure of U4 snRNA from yeast and human has been reported.
Source: RNAcentral